AUAGAGUCAAGUGAAUAAGUGCAUCAGGCGGAUGCCUUGGCGAUGAUAGGCGACGAAGGACGUGUAAGCCUGCGAAAAGCGCGGGGGAGCCGGCAAUAAAGCAAUGAUUCCGCGAUGUCCGAAUGGGGAAACCCACUGCAUUCUGUGCAGUAUCCUAAGUUGAAUACAUAGACUUAGAGAAGCGAACCCGGAG
RNAcentral lists this ribosomal RNA (193 nucleotides) under Neisseria meningitidis. RNAcentral describes it as "partial 23S ribosomal RNA". It matches the Rfam family "Bacterial large subunit ribosomal RNA", at positions 1 to 190 of the family's 2925-position model. Lineage: Bacteria; Pseudomonadati; Pseudomonadota; Betaproteobacteria; Neisseriales; Neisseriaceae. The record is from RNAcentral.